RNAcentral lists this ribosomal RNA (384 nucleotides) under Triticum aestivum (bread wheat). Its description in RNAcentral is "partial small subunit ribosomal RNA". Lineage: Eukaryota; Viridiplantae; Streptophyta; Magnoliopsida; Poales; Poaceae. The record is from RNAcentral.
AUGCCUGGAGGAGGGGCUCAAGGUCAUCCCUGGGAUGAGUUUGCCAGACAUUUUCCCUUCGUCACGUCUCGCCAUGCGCCUCAGCCGCGUGCCCGGACAGAUCAAGCGUCCCGUGCCGCCAUGCUCGGUUUCAUCGACACUAUCAUCAAGGAGCGCGAGAACAGAGACACCGCCGUUACCGGCAUCGAGGAACACGACGAGGACUUACUUGACAUGCUCCUGAGGCUCCAGAAGGACAUGGACUCCCAGUAUCCUCUCACCACCUUGAACAUCAAAACCGUUAUCAUUGACAUGUUUGCUGCUGGCAGCAAGACCUCGUCCACGAUGAUCCAUUGGGCGAUGGCCGAGCUGAUGCGUAACCCAACGGUGAUGCAAAAGGCGUGA